UCUAAUAAUCAACCAACUAAUAUGUAGCUCAAGGGAAUUCAAUUCCUGAUCCACAUGUUUACAAGCAAUAAAGGUUCAACCCCAACAUGUAAUUAUCCUCGUCAGAUAAAUCCAUUUAUUCGCCUAUUGCGAGAUCAUUAUGUCAUUAACAUGCUCACGACAUAAAAACUUGCAGGCAUCUAGGAUAUCAACAAAAUCAUAAUAUUCAUGCGCCCUAAAAAAAAGACAUUAAAAUUUCGAAAAACUUCCCUUAGAUCACAUUUUCUUCGGUAGAGUCAGAUCUACUCACAUCUAUAGCUCAAAUAUAGCCACAAACGACGCCAUUUGAUUGGGCCACUUUGGGUGUCUCAAUUUAAUCAUGUGUGUGUUUGUGGUGUGUGUGUGUGUGUAUAAUUGUGAGUGUGAAUUUUGCAGAGAGAGAGAAAAUGAAGCUUUUAUUGGUUGAAGAACC
RNAcentral lists this long non-coding RNA (451 nucleotides) under Erythranthe guttata (spotted monkey flower). RNAcentral describes it as "long non-coding RNA (EGUT_LNC002949)". The record is from RNAcentral. Lineage: Eukaryota; Viridiplantae; Streptophyta; Magnoliopsida; Lamiales; Phrymaceae.